UGGGGAAUAUUGCACAAUGGGCGAAAGCCUGAUGCAGCAACGCCGCGUGAGGGACGACGGCCUUCGGGUUGUAAACCUCUUUUAGCAAGGAAGAAGCGAAAGUGACGGUACUUGCAGAAAAAGCGCCGGCUAACUACGUGCCAGCAGCCGCGGUAAUACGUAGGGCGCAAGCGUUAUCCGGAAUUAUUGGGCGUAAAGAGCUCGUAGGCGGUUUGUCGCGUCUGCUGUGAAAACCCGAGGCUCAACCUCGGGCCUGCAGUGGGUACGGGCAGACUAGAGUGCGGUAGGGGAGAUUGGAACUCCUGGUGUAGCGGUGGAAUGCGCAGAUAUCAGGAAGAACACCGAUGGCGAAGGCAGAUCUCUGGGCCGUAACUGACGCUGAGGAGCGAAAGGGUGGGGAGCAAACAGGCUUAGAUACCCUGGUAGUCCACCCCGUAAACGUUGGGAACUAGUUGUGGGGUCCAUUCCACGGAUUCCGUGACGCAGCUAACGCAUUAAGUUCCCCGCCUGGGGAGUACGGCCGCAAGGCUAAAACUCAAAGGAAUUGACGGGGUCAUAGCUGUUUCCUU
Molecule: ribosomal RNA, 569 nt
Filed under: uncultured bacterium
Lineage: Bacteria
Description: partial 16S ribosomal RNA
Rfam family: Bacterial small subunit ribosomal RNA
Source: RNAcentral